RNAcentral lists this long non-coding RNA (1946 nucleotides) under Homo sapiens (human). Its description in RNAcentral is "HSALNT0392483". Lineage: Eukaryota; Metazoa; Chordata; Mammalia; Primates; Hominidae. The record is from RNAcentral.
GAAAAAGGACCAAAAUAUGACAUAAGAAUAUUUUAGAAGUUUUCUCUUGAGCUUUUCAGUACAUCUUGAUAGAGGGGAAGAUAUGAUGAUAAAGUAUUUGGCACUUGGGUCAACAAUCUAGUUUAUUCAGUAGUUCAGCAAAUAUUUUAAAUAUAUCUACUUAGCACGUAGUCCAAGGGGAUGUAGUCUGGAGCAAGACAGACAUGGUCUUUGGCCUCCUGGGUUUACAAUUUAUAAUUGCUGGAUUACAGAGUAUAGAAUAGUAACAAAAUGAUAGAAAACUUAAAUGUAAAAGAUAAAAGGGCAACGGGAGUCGUGUGAGUUUGAGUGUGAGGACAGAUAGCAUGGCCAUGCUAUCUGCUCUGCCUCCUUAAAAGGUCACUGGAAGUUGGUUACUUCCAUUCUGAUAGAGGCCUCACCCUUCCCUGGCAACCCAGUCCACUAACAGCUGUAUUUUGCUGAAGCAUAAAACUUUAAGCCAGUGUUCUCUUCAGAGCCCAGACAGUCCUCUGCAGUUUGGAGAGUUCUUCCUGGACUGCACUAACAAAGGCCAACCUGUUUCGGGAAACUCUCGACACUUUCCUCUGUGUCAGCACAGUCACCUGGAAUGCGUUCCAGCCGGAGCUGUGACUAUUUAAUCUCACUUUGUCUCUUAGCCCUGUCAUCUUCCACACCCCUGAACUGUCAGUCUCUGUAGGCCUCUGUCCUUUCUGGCGAGGCUAUUUCAGCAAGGCUUUAGGCCUACAACCCCUUCUCAAGCAUUCUCCAGAUUAACAGGGAUGCUCAUCCUGGCUAAGGAUUCCACAGGUUCAAAACCAAGCUCAUGAGAGUUCGAUGUAUUAAUUCUCAUAAUUAGUCAUAUGUAAGUUUACUGCUGCUGGGAGUGAAGCUGAGUCCAAGAUGCGAGGUGCCAGAUGCAGAGGCAAAAUGAUUAUAUAUAGAUGGGGGAGAAGACCUUGAGAAAAUCUGCUCCGUGGGACCGGACACUCAGGAAACAAUUUUUCCUUCUCAUGGAAAGCAGAUCAGAUGCCUAGAGAUGAUUGUGACCUGCAGUGCUUAUGUGAUGCAGAUGUGGUCCUUUGUGCCGCUUCCCACAGAUGGGAACAUGAGAAAAUGUGGAAGUUCUACUCAUGUCCUGCUAAAAGCUCUUACAUUUCAUAAUCAUGAUUAUUUGCUUUAUAUAUGUUUCCUUCAGUAGCCCACGUAAGGUAGGACAAAAUUACAAUUAGGUACACAGUUGGAAUCAUAACUUCUUGGCUGAGUGAAACAGCUAAAGGGAUGGGGACACUCUCCUCUCCCUACUCCUACUUCCACCUCUGUCCUGCCUGCAUAAGACCGUCUGGUCACACAUACAGAUGCUUAAUUGUCAAGGUCAAGCACUGUCCCUCUAUCACUCACCCAAGAAACUCACUGCUGAGGGAGUGUCGCUGCCUCUCAAAUCCAGGGACAUGUAGAUGGUGGUAGAAUCUCACCUUUCAGGUGGAAGUGUAGGAAAUGUGCAGGCAAAACUACUAGGCCCUGCAUUUGGUAGGAAAUAAAAAGAGUCAAGUCUUUGGACAAAUUUGAUCACUUAUAUAUAAUUUCUGUUUCACUGGCAGCAAAACAACUGACACAAAAUUGUGGCCAGAGAAAGAAGAUAUUCCAGGACCGGGCACGAUGGCUCAUGCCUGUAAUCCCAACACUUUGGGAGGCCGAGGUGGGCGCAUCACCUGAGGUCAGGAGUUGGAGACCAGCCUGCCAACAUGGUGAAACCCCGCCUCUACUAAAAUACAAAAGUUAACAGGGUGUGGUAGCCUGCACCUGUAGUCCCAGCUACUCGGGAGGUUGAGGCAGGAGAAUUGCUCGAACCCGGGAGGUGGAGGCUGCCAUGAGCCGAGAUCGUGCCACUGCACUCCAGCCUGGGUGGUAGAGCGAGAGUCCAUCUCAAAAAAAAAAAAAAAAAAAAA